Molecule: ribosomal RNA, 441 nt
Filed under: uncultured bacterium
Lineage: Bacteria
Description: partial 16S ribosomal RNA
Rfam family: Bacterial small subunit ribosomal RNA
Source: RNAcentral
CCUACGGGUGGCAGCAGUAGGGAAUUUUGCGCAAUGGGCGAAAGCCUGACGCAGCAACGCCGCGUGAUUGAUUAAGCCCUUCGGGGUGUUAAGAUCUUUCAGUGGGGACGUAACUUGACGGUACCCACAGAGGUAGCACCGGCUAACUCCGUGCCAGCAGCCGCGGUAAUACGGAGGGUGCAAGCGUUGUCCGGAAUCAUUGGGCUUAAAGGGUUCGUAGGUGGCAUAUUAAGUCUGGUGUUAAAUGCAGAGGCUCAACUGCUGUACGGCACUUGAUCCUGGUAAGCUUGAAUGCGGUAGAGGUAGAGGGAAUGCCUGGUGUAGCGGUGAAAUGCGUAGAUAUCAGGAAGAACAUCGAUGGCGUAAGCGCUUUACUGGGCCGUAAUUGACACUGAGGAACGAAAGCCGGGGUAGCAAAUGGGAUUAGAUACCCCUGUAGUC